RNAcentral lists this ribosomal RNA (425 nucleotides) under uncultured bacterium. Its description in RNAcentral is "partial 16S ribosomal RNA". It matches the Rfam family "Bacterial small subunit ribosomal RNA", at positions 354 to 796 of the family's 1533-position model. The record is from RNAcentral.
GUGGGGAAUCUUGGGCAAUGGGGGAAACCCUGACCCAGCAACGCCGCGUGAAGGAAGAAGGUUUUCGGAUCGUAAACUUCUAUCCUUGGUGAAGAUAAUGACGGUAGCCAAGAAGGAAGCCCCGGCUAACUACGUGCCAGCAGCCGCGGUAAUACGUAGGGGGCAAGCGUUGUCCGGAAUGAUUGGGCGUAAAGGGCGCGUAGGCGGCCUGGUAAGUCUGGAGUGAAAGUCCUGCUUUUAAGGUGGGAAUUGCUUUGGAUACUGUCGGGCUUGAGUGCAGGAGAGGUAAGCGGAAUUCCCGGUGUAGCGGUGAAAUGCGUAGAGAUCGGGAGGAACACCAGUGGCGAAGGCGGCUUACUGGACUGUAACUGACGCUGAGGCGCGAAAGUGUGGGGAGCAAACAGGAUUAGAAACCCCGGUAGUCC